GAGUGUUUGCCCGAGUGGUUAAGGGGGCUAACUGAAGAUUUAUUAUACCAUGUCUGCGUGGGUUCGAACCCCACAGCACUCA
Molecule: non-coding RNA, 82 nt
Organism: Perkinsus olseni
Lineage: Eukaryota; Perkinsozoa; Perkinsida; Perkinsidae
Source: the annotation of a GenBank genome assembly